UGGGGAAUAUUGGACAAUGGGCGAAAGCCUGAUCCAGCAAUGCCGCGUGUGUGAAGAAGGCCUGCGGGUUGUAAAGCACUUUCAGUGGGAAAGAAAAGCGGGGUGUUAAUACCAUCCCGUCUUGACGUUACUCACAGAAGAAGCACCGGCUAACUCCGUGCCAGCAGCCGCGGUAAUACGGAGGGUGCAAGCGUUAAUCGGAAUCACUGGGCGUAAAGCGCACGUAGGCGGCACGAUCAGUCCGCUGUGAAAUCCCCGGGCUUAACCUGGGAACUGCAGUGGAUACUGUCGCGCUAGAGUGUGAGAGAGGGGGGUGGAAUUCCAGGUGUAGCGGUGAAAUGCGUAGAGAUCUGGAGGAACACCAGUGGCGAAGGCGGCCCCCUGGUUCAACACUGACGCU
RNAcentral lists this ribosomal RNA (400 nucleotides) under uncultured bacterium. RNAcentral describes it as "bacterial SSU rRNA". It matches the Rfam family "Bacterial small subunit ribosomal RNA", at positions 355 to 747 of the family's 1533-position model. The record is from RNAcentral.